Molecule: long non-coding RNA, 794 nt
Organism: Epinephelus fuscoguttatus (brown-marbled grouper)
Lineage: Eukaryota; Metazoa; Chordata; Actinopteri; Perciformes; Serranidae
Exons: 4
Source: RefSeq, a predicted model, not a curated record
CUGCUGUCUGUGCUGUUGACUCACCGCUGAGAGAGCAGCUGGUGAGCCGUCAAGGUGAAGUGAGCAGGGCAGGAACAACAACAUACUGCCGUCACAGCUUGCGUCCCAAAAAUGGUAAUUACUUAAUAAAAUGGACAAGGGGAACAAGCGUCCAUGUUGUUUCCACAUUACAACUUAAAGCUCAUGAACACGCCAAAGGCGGAAGAAUGACUGGGAAUGGGACCAUCCAAGGAGAAAGUGAAUGUGGAGGUGUUGUAAGUCUGUCACCUCUGAACCACCAUGGGCGGAGAGGACACAUCUGCUGCAGCCGUGCAGACGCAUUGCUGAUGAUUACCGCAGAGAACAGAUCUAGGAGUGAAAGGUGCCUGCUCUGGACUGUUUCAGCUGCUGCCAACAUCUCAGAGUGGAAUAUUUACCUUUCACUCUAAAACCGGGAAAAGGGAAGCCAAUAUCCAACACCAACCUGUGUAUUCAGCAGCUGUUUGCUCAGGUGAAUAAAUCCUAAUUUAGGCUAUUUCUGUUUAUUCAGAAAAGGAGGGUUACUAGUAAUGUUGUAAAACUAUCAUUCAUUAAGAGCUGCAAUUCAGAGUUAACUUAAUGCCAAAUAAACCCUGCAAAGAAAAUGAUGCUUACCAUGUGUGUAGAUGUAGGAGAUAUUUGAUUGAUGUAGCUCUUAGUCUCUAUUUGACCCCUUAUUAAUAUGCAAAGUGGACUGAUAUGUUGUGUUAGGUACAUACCAUGUAUCAUUGGUUGAUGCAACAUAAUGAUCUGUAUCUUUGGAAAUAAAACCUCCU